AAAAAAUAAAUAAAAAAAUUGUCUGUUUUUUACAUGACUAUAUAUUAAUGAAAAAUAUUGGCUCAUAAAAUGAAAACAACUAGAUUUUAACCCGCGGUACACCGCGGGGACAAUUUAUUUUUUAAAGUUAGUAUAUAUAAAAAUUUGUAAAUUGUAUCUAUCUAUAAAAUAUUUUUAUUUUAUAGUUUACAAUUGUUAUUAAGUAACGUCCUGCCAAACUCGUCCCGCAAAACCCAUCCUGCAAAAAAAACUAUUUAUUUUAUUAAUGUUGAUCUUAUUUAUGAAUCAUUGUCUAAAUAUUUUAGUCGAUGCGGGAUGUUGAACCCACACAUUUUUCGCCAAUUGGUUAAUAUAUGUUCAUUUUUAAAAUUUUGAAUCACAAAAUAUGACGGAAUUUUUUUUGAGAUUUUUUAAACUAUAUAUUAUAUAAUGAUGUUAAAUUUUUUGAUAUAUUAAACUUUUUAUAAGUUUAAAUAUUAAUAAUGUUUUAUAAAGUUUAAAUAUAUAAAUAAUAAUAUUUAAAAA
RNAcentral lists this small RNA (525 nucleotides) under Arabidopsis thaliana (thale cress). Its description in RNAcentral is "ATSL183690". The record is from RNAcentral. Lineage: Eukaryota; Viridiplantae; Streptophyta; Magnoliopsida; Brassicales; Brassicaceae.